Molecule: long non-coding RNA, 585 nt
Filed under: Elaeis guineensis (African oil palm)
Lineage: Eukaryota; Viridiplantae; Streptophyta; Magnoliopsida; Arecales; Arecaceae
Description: long non-coding RNA (EGUI_LNC063649)
Source: RNAcentral
CAGAACCCGUUCUCUCCCACACCCACUCAGGAUUACUAUAGAAGAGAGCUCUGGCUUCUCAUGGGUAUGGGCUACGUUCCAUCGGUUGCGAGGCUCCCAGUCAACCGGGGAACCUAAAGGAUAAAAGCUAUAUGUUGCAUGGAGAGAUCAUGCUGCUGGUUCUGGUCAUGCUCUUUGCUCUCUUUCUCUCCUGCCUGCUGCUCUGCCUUUACCUGAGACGCCGACGAAGGGUUCAACGAGAGGAGUCGGACUCGGUGGAGCUUGGCGAGGUGGCUUAGAAAGGACAGGAACGUGUGGGCUCGGCGAUGUACCACGGUCCAUGGGCGAGGUCCGAGCCGUUGGCCUUCAGCGAGGUUUCAUGGUGGACCACCCACUAGAGUGUGCAGACCCAGCGGAAUAAUAUAACAGAAGGUGAGGAGUCUCAGAGCCUAUGGCGAAAUGUUCAUUUGGAACAGGAUUCAGGCUGGUGUCUCUCACGUGAGCUCUAGGUGUGUACCAUCUUGUAAUGCUAGGAGAUCUCGUUGUAACACGCGUCUCCUAUUUGUGGAACUUUGGUGGCUUAUGGCUUCAAGUUUGAACAAUGAC